GCGCAUAUAGCUCAGUUGGAUAGAGCGGUCGCCUCCUAAGCGACAGGCCGGGGGUUCAAAUCCCUUUAUGCGCGCCA
Molecule: transfer RNA, 77 nt
Filed under: Oscillospiraceae bacterium
Lineage: Bacteria; Bacillati; Bacillota; Clostridia; Eubacteriales; Oscillospiraceae
Description: tRNA-Arg
Rfam family: tRNA
About the family: Transfer RNA (tRNA) molecules are approximately 80 nucleotides in length. Their secondary structure includes four short double-helical elements and three loops (D, anti-codon, and T loops).
Source: RNAcentral